Molecule: ribosomal RNA, 566 nt
Filed under: uncultured bacterium
Lineage: Bacteria
Description: partial 16S ribosomal RNA
Rfam family: Bacterial small subunit ribosomal RNA
Source: RNAcentral
UGGGGAAUUUUGGACAAUGGGGGAAACCCUGAUCCAGCCAUCCCGCGUGUGCGAUGAAGGCCUUCGGGUUGUAAAGCACUUUUGGCAGGAAAGAAACGUCGCGGGUUAAUACCCCGCGAAACUGACGGUACCUGCAGAAUAAGCACCGGCUAACUACGUGCCAGCAGCCGCGGUAAUACGUAGGGUGCAAGCGUUAAUCGGAAUUACUGGGCGUAAAGCGUGCGCAGGCGGUUCGGAAAGAAAGAUGUGAAAUCCCAGAGCUUAACUUUGGAACUGCAUUUUUAACUACCGGGCUAGAGUGUGUCAGAGGGAGGUGGAAUUCCGCGUGUAGCAGUGAAAUGCGUAGAUAUGCGGAGGAACACCGAUGGCGAAGGCAGCCUCCUGGGAUAACACUGACGCUCAUGCACGAAAGCGUGGGGAGCAAACAGGAUUAGAUACCCUGGUAGUCCACGCCCUAAACGAUGACAACUAGCUGUUGGGGCCUUCGGGCCUUGGUAGCGCAGCUAACGCGUGAAGUUGACCGCCUGGGGAGUACGGUCGCAAGAUUAAAACUCAAAUGAAUUGAC